Molecule: transfer RNA, 70 nt
Filed under: Cyprichromis cf. leptosoma 'blue'
Lineage: Eukaryota; Metazoa; Chordata; Actinopteri; Cichliformes; Cichlidae
Description: tRNA-Pro
Source: RNAcentral
UCAAACAAACGGGAUUUUAACCACUACCCCUAGCUCCCAAAGCUUGGAUCCUAAUUUAGACUAUUCUUUG